UCUUGUGCUUGAUGGAUUCAUCAACCGCAGCCUGCUCACCGUGUGUUCCUUAUCAGUCAAUUGUAAUGAUAAUCCUGCAGCCACACUGAUUAGCGUGUUGUAGGAGCAACACCAACACAGUGAUAUCAGAUAAAAACCUUGUUACUUACGACACCUGAUCUCAAUAACCUGAUAAACCCACGUGCAAACUUGACACAACAUUGCCGUACGAAAAAUGGAGGAAUUUCUCAAAAGGACAAACUGCCAGGGACUCUCACGUGUUCUGAGUGUGGAUCUCGGCUUGCGCUGUAUUGAUGAAGGAAAUGUAGGUCUGCCUUGAAAGCUGCCUUUCAUUAGAGUCUCGGAGACGUGGUGUAAACAUUAGUCAGGAAGCUACGCUGAAAGGUGGAGGGCAGCGAGAGGUCACAUCGGAGAGAAGAGGGAGGUCAAGUGAGCCAAAGAGUCACGGACUCCCUCAAAGUCUUUCGUUCCACCUUAGAUAUGAUGCACAUUAUUAAUGUGUUUACCUUCAGGAUGAGAAGCCUGCAAAGAUUACAGAAGCUCAGCGCAUCAUCAAACAGAGCACAAAAAAACCCAAACAAACCAAAAAUCGAUAUUCUGCCUGACUUUGCAAAGCUCACAUCUCUUUUCCUCUGUUAUCACUUUAACAGGUGUAGCCACUAACAAAGGAUUUCUCUUCCACAGUCCAUGACUCGGAGCUCCGGGCCCAAACAGAUGACCAGCUCAGGCUUGUUUGCUGUAAUGAUGUCAGUAGUUAAAACCGUGUUUCCAUUACUUUGCAGGGUGUUGCAGAGUAAGUCUCGUUUUUUUUCCCCACUGCUGUCCAGGGCAAAGCUGGAGCACAGGCUGCAGCCACCAACACAACGAACACAGAUGCAGCUCGAAUGGCAAAAUGUGCGUGAACACAAUAUGAAUACUGUGUGUACCUGCCGGCCUCUCGACGCCAGAGCAGAGUGUCAACCCGAUUCCCCAGCAGACUCCAGCCGGAUGAAGCUCCUUCACUUAGCGUUGCCAGCUGCCCUGAGGCGAGUUUAACCUGAGAGGAGAGAUGCACCUGUACAACAGUAAGCUGGGAUUGCGGCGUCGAAGCUCACUAAAUCUCUGUCCACUCAACAGGUAUUAAACCCCAAGCAGCGAAGCGCCACACAGGGGGCUGCACACAUCUCCUCCUCCCUGCUGACGAGCCUUUGCUUUCCCAUCCUGCCUGCCAGUGCUGUCAGCGGUCGUGCAUAGAAAACUGCCGGUGCAGUCAGUCAGCUUGCAAAUUAUUGCCAGGGCGUUUGGUAUCAAGUGUUAAGGGAACGCGCUGUCAACACAGCAAGCCUCUCAACAUCUCAGUUUCCUCAGCACACAUCAGCUGAACGUGUUUUUCAAUCUCCUUCCUCUUUACUUGUAAACAUUGCGCAACAUGGAGCAACAUGGCUGACCCAGCCAUGGCGUGAUUGUGAAUAACCCAGCUAAAUGUAUCCACCAGAGAAUAAUGUAUACCCUGAGCGCUGAAUGGUUUUGAUUAUAUGAAACAAUCUGUUUCUCAUGUUGUAUGGUUCAUGGCAAAACCUUGCAAACAUCCUGCCAUAUAUCAAGCAACGCUCAGAAUCUGUUUGGCUGGUCACAGAUGUCCAAAUCGCUCUUUCAUCCUGUUUAUCUGGAAACGUAUCUCUGAUUUACUCCGGUGACUAAAUUAUAGGCACAUAUGUUUAUAUCCCACAAGCUGUGAUUGAUUAUUGUUAGGCCUUUCAUCCCUGAGGCAGUUUUAGGAAUACAGAAAUGUUGUGCUGUUGGACAAUGAAACAUGUUUGUCUCGUGUCUUUAAAAAAUCUAAACAUACAAACAUGUCAGUACAAACGUGCUUGAUUAAAAACACCUUAGAUGAGAGAAAAGGUCACACUGUCCAAUGUAAUAACAUAUAUUUCUCCUUUGUAUUAUUUGUGUCACCACUGUUUUCCCUCCUCCCUCUUUGCUGUGCACCUUUCAUCAGUAGGCAAACACUGUUUAGUCAUCAGGAUGCUGGUUGGUACGUAGUGAUUGAUGGUGUGUGGUAAUCACGAUGAAAGGAGGUCAAAGCCACAAGGGUCACAUUUUUCUCCUUCUGUCUGCGGCUCUUUAUCUCAACUCACCUCUCCGCCCUUAUGUACAUGCACACACACAUAUAUACGCUAAUUUACCUGUUUUUCUUGAGGUCUAUUACAGUUAUUUGCACAUUAACAAGGCAAGAAAUGUAAGUCUGUUUCUAUGAAGUCAUCUAUUGACAGUAAAUACAGCUUGUAGACACAACAGUGAGCAUGAAACUUCUUAAUGAUAUGGAGACAUUUUCUAGAUUAGAAAGAAGAUGCUGUGAGCCGUAAGAGGUGGACUUAAAGGAUGAAACAGAAAAGGAGAAGAUAAAACAGAGAUUUGAAAAUGUAGUUUGUUGCCAUAGAAAGCCAUGCAACGCAGCUUUAUUUUAUUUAAGAGUCCAGCAAUCACUACAAACACAUCUUUUUCCCACAUGUUAAACCCAAAACCUCAACAAAGUCGAAAUGGGAACAGAGCACAAUGCCCAUUCCCAUGUGCUUCACAUUUUUAUUAACUAUCGCUGCCCUCACUGCAGCUCGUUACAGCCCAUAUAGACGAGUGAGAAGGUCUGGAGAGGCAGCCAGCAACACUACCUCCCAUACAGCUUUCCUGAGGGGCAUUUCCCUCACCAGGGCGAAGGCUUUGUAAUCUGAGACCAGCAGGUACGUUUUGUGUGUGUGUGUGUGUGUGUGUGUGUGUGAGAGGGUGUGUACUGCAUAGCAACACUGAGGAAAAGGAGUGGAGGUUAAAACAAAGAAAGAAGGAGGAAAGAACUGGAAACAAACCUGGAUUUGGUAAAUGCUAGUGGAUAUGCAAACUUUGAAGUAAACUUUACUUUAACCACCAUUGUUUAGUAUUUGUAUACAGUAUACAAACACACUAAAAUGUAGCUUUAUGCAGACACGGGCAUAAGCAUAUUUUUACAAAUUUAUGAGUAAGUGAAUAGUGUCACUUGGAGAAGACAAAUCUGUCUGGCAGCUAUUUAAUGAUAUAUGAUCAGACUUUAUAUAAUACGUUGGCAUAUUUUACACAUAUUGCAAAUAAUUAAUUAUCUGUUCAUAAACUGGUUUCAGUUGCCUCACAAAACACUUCAAAUGUCCUUAUAGCUGCUUAUAACUACAUAGGCUACAACGUUUGAAAUAGUGUGAUAUAAUUAGUUAUUUGUUGUUAAUAUUCUGCAUAUGAAUGCCAAAUGGGGGUGGGUGUUAAAGUAAAUUGUUACCGAUAAAACAUUAUGGAUGGUGCAUAAAAUGGUUUUCAAAAUUUUCUCAUAAAGUGAUACAGUAAAGUUAGAUACUAGUAAUAUAUUAAUAUGAUAUAAAAUAUAUAAUAUUGUGUGAUAUACAUGUAUAUAACAUGCGUAUAAACAUG
This is a long non-coding RNA of Scatophagus argus, 3426 nucleotides long. RefSeq lists it as uncharacterized. The record is from RefSeq and is a predicted model, not a curated record. Lineage: Eukaryota; Metazoa; Chordata; Actinopteri; Scatophagidae. The transcript has 3 exons.